RNAcentral lists this transfer RNA (73 nucleotides) under Planctomycetaceae bacterium. RNAcentral's name for it is "tRNA-Arg". It matches the Rfam family "tRNA". Rfam says of the family: Transfer RNA (tRNA) molecules are approximately 80 nucleotides in length. Their secondary structure includes four short double-helical elements and three loops (D, anti-codon, and T loops). Further hydrogen bonds mediate the characteristic L-shaped molecular structure. tRNAs have two regions of fundamental functional importance: the anti-codon, which is responsible for specific mRNA codon recognition, and the 3' end, to which the tRNAs corresponding amino acid is attached (by aminoacyl-tRNA synthetases). tRNAs cope with the degeneracy of the genetic code in two manners: having more than one tRNA (with a specific anti-codon) for a particular amino acid; and 'wobble' base-pairing, i.e. permitting non-standard base-pairing at the 3rd anti-codon position. Lineage: Bacteria; Pseudomonadati; Planctomycetota; Planctomycetia; Planctomycetales; Planctomycetaceae. The record is from RNAcentral.
GUCCGUGUAGCUCAGGGGAUAGAGCGACGGUUUCCUAAACCGUAGGUCGUUGGUUCGAAUCCAAUCACGGAUA